RNAcentral lists this ribosomal RNA (596 nucleotides) under uncultured bacterium. Its description in RNAcentral is "bacterial SSU rRNA". It matches the Rfam family "Bacterial small subunit ribosomal RNA", at positions 112 to 704 of the family's 1533-position model. The record is from RNAcentral.
AAUGCCUAGGAAUCUGCCUGGUAGUGGGGGAUAACGUUCGGAAACGGACGCUAAUACCGCAUACGUCCUACGGGAGAAAGCAGGGGGCCUUCGGGCCUUGCGCUAUCAGAUGAGCCUAGGUCGGAUUAGCUAGUUGGUGAGGUAAUGGCUCACCAAGGCGACGAUCCGUAACUGGUCUGAGAGGAUGAUCAGUCACACUGGAACUGAGACACGGUCCAGACUCCUACGGGAGGCAGCAGUGGGGAAUAUUGGACAAUGGGCGAAAGCCUGAUCCAGCCAUGCCGCGUGUGUGAAGAAGGUCUUCGGAUUGUAAAGCACUUUAAGUUGGGAGGAAGGGUUGUAGAUUAAUACUCUGCAAUUUUGACGUUACCGACAGAAUAAGCACCGGCUAACUCUGUGCCAGCAGCCGCGGUAAUACAGAGGGUGCAAGCGUUAAUCGGAAUUACUGGGCGUAAAGCGCGCGUAGGUGGUUUGUUAAGUUGGAUGUGAAAUCCCCGGGCUCAACCUGGGAACUGCAUUCAAAACUGACUGACUAGAGUAUGGUAGAGGGUGGUGGAAUUUCCUGUGUAGCGGUGAAAUGCGUAGAUAUAGGAAGG